AGUGAACGCUGGCGGUAGGCCUAACACAUGCAAGUCGAACGGCAGCACAGUAAGAGCUUGCUCCUACGGGUGGCGAGUGGCGGACGGGUGAGGAAUACAUCGGAAUCUACUUUUUCGUGGGGGAUAACGUAGGGAAACUUACGCUAAUACCGCAUACGACCUACGGGUGAAAGCAGGGGAUCUUCGGACCUUGCGCGAUUGAAUGAGCCGAUGUCGGAUUAGCUAGUUGGCGGGGUAAAGGCCCACCAAGGCGACGAUCCGUAGCUGGUCUGAGAGGAUGAUCCGCCACCAGAGAACGGAGACCGGGUCCAGGCCCCUGGGGGGCGGCAGGAGGGGGAAAUUUGGAACAGGGGCGAAAAGCCUAGCCCGCCAACCCGGGUGGGAGGAAAAGGCCUUCGGGGUUGAAAGCCCUUUUUUUGGGAAAAAAAAGGCGGAAGUUAAUACCCCCGUUUUUAGGCGGUACCCAAAGAAAAAGACCCGGCAAACUUCG
Molecule: ribosomal RNA, 490 nt
Filed under: uncultured bacterium
Lineage: Bacteria
Description: partial 16S ribosomal RNA
Rfam family: Bacterial small subunit ribosomal RNA
Source: RNAcentral